RNAcentral lists this transfer RNA (40 nucleotides) under Gnetum ula. Its description in RNAcentral is "partial tRNA-Phe". It matches the Rfam family "tRNA", at positions 1 to 39 of the family's 71-position model. Rfam says of the family: Transfer RNA (tRNA) molecules are approximately 80 nucleotides in length. Their secondary structure includes four short double-helical elements and three loops (D, anti-codon, and T loops). Further hydrogen bonds mediate the characteristic L-shaped molecular structure. tRNAs have two regions of fundamental functional importance: the anti-codon, which is responsible for specific mRNA codon recognition, and the 3' end, to which the tRNAs corresponding amino acid is attached (by aminoacyl-tRNA synthetases). tRNAs cope with the degeneracy of the genetic code in two manners: having more than one tRNA (with a specific anti-codon) for a particular amino acid; and 'wobble' base-pairing, i.e. permitting non-standard base-pairing at the 3rd anti-codon position. RNAcentral also lists the same sequence under 1 other name. The record is from RNAcentral. Lineage: Eukaryota; Viridiplantae; Streptophyta; Gnetopsida; Gnetales; Gnetaceae.
GCCGGGAUAGCUCAGUUGGUAGAGCAAAGGACUGAAAAUC